UGGGCAGUAAUCUGUCUCAACCCAGAGCCUGAAUGGGAAGUUAUUUUGGCAGUGUUUCCCCUAUAUGCAUUAGCAGUGACCACUGUUUUUUUAUUUAUAUACGGAUGUGUAUGUAUGAUUUAAAAAUAAAUAAAUAAAAAAGCGGGCACGGUAAAACAUUUUUCAGUGUAAACUUAAGCGUAAUGAUUAUGGCUCUAGAUUGCAGAAAAGGCUGUUUCAGGUGUUUGAAAAAUGUAAAAUUCACUAAUUUAAGGAUGGGGGCUGGGGCCCCCUCUGCACCUCUCCUCAGCCAUUCUCACAUACUUUGUGCCCCCUCAGAUUUGUGGGGUGCAUGACAGCCUGCAGCUUGUCACUGGUCAUUUCGCCUUUCUUGCAUGUUUUUAAUUUGCUUUCGUUCAGACUCUUAGUGUAUUAGGCUGUAGGCCUAGUGGAAUGUAUUAGACUAUAGGUAGUGGAAUGUAUUAGACUGUAGGUAGUGUAGGUAGUGGAAUGUAUUAGACUGUAGGUAGUGUAGGUAGUGGAAUGUAUUAGACUGUAGGUAGUGGAAUGUAUUAGACUGUAGGUAGUGUAGGUAGGGGAAUGUAUUAGACUGUAGGUAGUGGAAUGGAUUAGACUGUAGGUAGUGUAGGUAGUGGAAUGUAUUAGACUGUAGGUAGUGGAAUGUAUUAGACUGUAGGUAGUGUAGGUAGUGGAAUGUAUUAGACUAUAGGUAGUGGAAUGUAUUAGACUGUAGGUAGUGGAAUGUAUUAGACUGUAGGUAGUGGAAUGUAUUAGACUGUAGGUAGUGGAAUGUAUUAGACUGUAGGUAGUGUAGGUAGUGGAAUGUAUUAGACUGUAGGUAGUGGAAUGUAUUAGACUGUAGGUAGUGGAAUGUAUUAGACUAUAGGUAGUGGAAUGUAUUAGACUAUAGACCCUUUCUAAGCCAUAAAUGGAGAUGGGGAUUUGGAUUUGUGGCUUUGACUUAAUUCUCUGUCCAGGCCAAUGACUAUGACGGCAAUUCUGAUCUAACUGGUCACUUUAAUAAUGUUUACAUACUGUUUUACUCAUUUAAUAUGUAUAUACUGUAUUCUACUGUAUUUUAGUUAAUGCCACUUCGACAUUGCUCAUCCUAAUAUUUAUAUAUUUCUUAAUUCCAUACUUUUACUUUUAGAUUUGUGUGUAUUGUUGUGAAUUGUUAGAUACUACAGCACUGUUGGAGCUAAUUCUACGUUCUACCCAUAUUCAGUCCAAUUUUAACAAAUAAUAUUGUAUUGUAACCUAUUGAGUUCAUGAUUUGCACAGCAUAGCAUACCUUCCUAGGUCAGGCCGUCAAAGAUUUCUGGUCACGCUCCUACCCGGAACUUAAACCUCCAGUCUGGCGAUCCUAUCGGACAUAUUUCAUGAAACACAGGAACGAUUAAAGGAGAACAUAUUUGUUUACAUAGAUCCGAAGUUUAAAUGUUUUCAGUUUCUCAGACAUCUUCUGGUUUCGAAAUUAGCCAGGGCCAUUUUACUAUUUAAUAACUUAGAAACAGUGAAAACCCAUUAAAUUGUCUUGUUUAGUUAGCUCUCUGGAGCAGGUUUUCCGCUUGUUACGAGGGUAGCUAGCUAGCUAGCAGCAAUCAAUCGCUUGCUAUACAUUUCACGAUGGACGACAGACUAUGAAAUUUGACCUCCGAUGUUAUAAACAAAUUGAAAGGUAGUUAUUGCAGUUUUACAAAAAUGGAUAUCAGUCUAACAAUUUCCCUAAUGCGGGGCCAGAUGGGUACCGUGAUAGAGAGAGCGGUUAGUGCCGCUGUUGAGACUGUGUUGGGGGAGAUGCUUAGAGUCGUCGGCAUUAAAUUUGACGAGCUGAAGAGGGAGGUAGUUGCUAAAGAGAAAGAGGCGGAGAACAUAAGACAGAUGUUGGAGAUAUCCCGAUCUCAGAUGAAGACUAUGCGGAAACACAUGAAUGCUCUGGGUGAGAACGCCCACGCUGCCACUUAUCAGACCUACCGGACAGCAUUCGGCCAUUCUGAUCCCCGCAGAAUUCACGGUUCCUCCGAGGCCGCACUAUCCUCGGGUUUACCACAGCCACCGAGAAGGAUGGUUACUAACAACAACCAAAUUCCCACUACAAAUGGAAACUUACAGCCAAGGAAUCGAGUCACCAUCACCCUACCCUCUGAGAAUAUGGUCAGGGCCACCCAGCCGUCUGAUAACUUGGUCAGGGUCACCCAACCCUCUGAUAACUUCGUCAGGGCCACCCAGCCGUCUGAUAACUUGGUCAGGGUCACCCAACCCUCUGAUAACUUGGUCAGGGUCACCCAACCCUCUGAUAACUUCGUCAGGGCCACCCAGCCGUCUGAUAACUUGGUCAGGGCCACCCAACCCUCUGAUAACUUGGUCAGGGCCACCCAACCCUCUGAUAACUUGGUCAGGGUCACCCAACCCUCUGAUAACUUGGUCAGGGCCACCCAACCCUCUGACAAUAUGGUAACCGUUAGGCCCACGUCAACAUCCUUUGACAGUCACGAUGAUCUGACAACUGUGAUCUCCCAGACUCUGGAGGAUCGGACAUUGACACCCACUAGUUCAUCAGAGCAUCUGGAACCUUUGAAAGAGGAGCACCCAGCCCCUCUAGACCCCGAGGUGUCUGAUGAGAGCCAGAGGAGGGAGGAGGAAGAAGAGUGGACCACCGUUACACAGCCACCAUCAGAGACCAGCACAGACCCUGGAGACCAGCUGGUCCUCUCCCCACCCAGGACUGACGGAGCAGACUGCUCUGCCAGGAGUGUACUGCCACUCUCCCAGCCACUUUCCCAGUUCCAAGUGAAAGAGGAGGAAGCUGAGGUGGAGAUCAUCUGUAUCAAACAGGAACCAGAGGAGGUGGAGACCCUGCUGAUAAACCUGGCUGCCGAAGGCUUCGACUCUCAGGGCAACCUUUUAGACAGGCAGACUCAGGGAAACCACCUCCUGGACAGUCACAGGACAAUCCCAGGCUCUCAGAGCCAGAGGGAUCGGAGAGCAUCCCGUCCACCACAGAACCAGAGGACCUUAGCAGAGAAUACACCCUUCACCUCAGCCGACUCUUGUUCAUAUGGGCUGUCCCAGGCAGUGAUGUCCACGUCAGGAGGAGUUGCUCCCAGGCCGAUGGUUCGUCCGUGGCCCAAGGACCUGAGUCUGUACGAGGAGUUUAAAAUGAGACGAACUGAGUUGAGGAGGAGGAACCAGACCCGUCAGAGAGAGAUGGAGAAAAACCUUCCCCAGCCUCUAUUAGCUGACCUGGUGAAGGAGAGACGGGAGAAGACCCGGCUCAGAGUGGCCCGCUGGAGAGCCAAGAGGAAGCUUCAGGCCUGCCUACUGACUCAGAUGAACCAGCAGACACAACACCAACAGACUGGACCGGGUCUGGGCCAAGGGAACAGUCUGAACAGUGGGCUGGGGAAUCAUAGCCAGAUUAGCCACCACACACAGCACAAAACCACAGGCCCGACUCAGACACAACAGAGGAACAGUGCUGCCGUCUCUCAAUCUCAGUACAAUAACAGUUUUCUGUACAACAGAAGUCACUGUGACUCUGGGGCUGGUAACAUUAACUACCCUUCUCUCCAGUUAAACUCCUCUUCUCUAAUGCUGGGGCAACACGGAGGACACAAUAUGGUGGAGCACAUUAUGCAGCCUGCGAUGACGUCAUCCUCACAGCAGGGCCUCUCCCUGACAGACUCUGAGCUCUACCAGUAACAAGGGAUCAUGGGUAUUCAAAUCUUACCCUACAAGUUCUGGAUUACUGCUGGUUUUCUGUUCUACCUGAUAAUGAAUUACACCCACCUGGUGUCCCAGGUCUAAAUCAGGCCCUGAUUAGAGUGGGAUCACCCACCUGGUGUCCCAGGUCUAAAUCAGUCCCUGAUUAGAGGGGGAUCACCCACCUGGUGUCCCAGGUCUAAAUCAGUCCCUGAUUAGAGGGGGAUCACCCACCUGGUGUCCCAGGUCUAAAUCAGUCCCUGAUUAGAGGGGGAUCACCCACCUGGUGUCCCAGGUCUAAAUCAGUCCCUGAUUAGAGGGGGAAUCAUCCACCUGGUGUCCCAGGUCUAAAUCAGUCCCUGAUUAGAGGAGAAGAGUGGAACUGGCUUUGUGGUCCACAUUUGAGUUAGAGGGCAGGAGACCAACAUUACAGUACCAGUUCUACUCUACCAGUACCAGUUCUACUCUACCAGUACCAGUUCUACUCUACCAGUACCAGUUCUACUCUUCCAGUUCUACUCUACCAGUACCAGUUCUACUCUACCAGUACCAGUUCUACUCUUCCAGUUCUACUCUACCAGUACCAGUUCUACUCUUCCAGUUCUACUCUACCAGUACCAGUUCUACUCUUCCAGUUCUACUCUACCAGUACCAGUUCUACUCUACCAGUACCAGUUCUACUCUACCAGUACCAGUUCUACUCUACCAGUACCAGUUCUACUCUACCAGUUCUACUCUACCAGUACCAGUUCUACUCUACCAGUACCAGUUCUACUCUUCCAGUUCUACUCUACCAGUACCAGUUCUACUCUUCCAGUUCUACUCUACCAGUACCAGUUCUACUCUACCAGUACCAGUUCUACUCUACCAGUACCAGUUCUACUCUACCAGUAACAAUAGAGCAGAGGAUGUGUUUUGUAGAGUCACUCCGUUGUAUGGCACCCUAUUCCCUAUGUAGUGCACUACAUUCGACAAAAGUUUUUUAUGGCUCUGGUCAAAAGUAGUGCACUAUAUAGGGAAUAUAGGGUGUCAUUUUCAGACACAACCUUUGCCUUCUGAUGCGGGGACAAUAACAUGAGAUAUUUCAAGGGGAAUUGUAUAAAUGCAAAAUUAUCCAAAUUGCCUGUGACAAAUUGAUAAAAAAAAAAAAGGCUUUUAUAAUUGAAUUGCUUAAAAAAAAAUAUAAAUACCUGAGAAUGUUUUGAUGUACAACAAAAGUCUUUAUUAAAAUACAUUAUUUAUGUUAACUUGAGUAAUGACUGUCCCUACAUGUCUACAAAUAUGGAGGAUAAAUCCUUGUACUCGAAUAACUGAUUGGAUCAUCAUGCGUAAUGCUUCUAGGUCAAACAAAUGUUCGUCAAUAUUAUUUAAUCAACUCUUAUUUAUACCUUGUAUUGCUCUGCAACUGGAUUUAAAUCACGAUAAUAUACUUAUUAUUCAGAUAUAGACCUAUUCAAUGAUAUACUAGGAAACUAUCCCAUAUACAUUAUGAAUCACUUUUUUGAGUUUAGGCCUAGUCUUUGAUCUCUUGCUUCAUUCCUCCUGUUCCGUACUUGAUAGUUACAUUAGCAGUGUUCAAGGCUGUUUACAUUAACCUGUCCAGUCAUUAUGUUUUUGGCAGCAUUUACAAAGUUUUGAUUAGAAAAUAGAUGGGACUGUUACUGUGCGUUUCCGUUGUUCAUAAAAAACAGCUGGAUGGAAUGACGUCACACCUAUUAAAAAAAAAAUUAUAAUAAUAAAAACACUUAGCAAAAACCGAGUGUCGAAUGAAAAGAAAGUGGUUGAAGUGUUUUCCAUUAUCCAUUUGGG
This 5511-nucleotide long non-coding RNA is filed under the name Salmo salar (Atlantic salmon). RNAcentral's name for it is "lncRNA (ENSSSAG00000104870.1)". Lineage: Eukaryota; Metazoa; Chordata; Actinopteri; Salmoniformes; Salmonidae. The record is from RNAcentral.